AACGCACGAGACCUGCGGACCUGCGGAAGGAUCAUUAUUGAAUAAACUUGAUGUAGUUGAGCUGACUCUCUCGGGAGUAUGUGCUCGCUCGUCAUCUUUAUCUUUCCACCUGUGCACUUUUUGUAGAUUUGGAUAUAACUGUCCGAGGCAACUCGGUUGGGAGGAAUGCUGUCUCUGAUGGCUUUCCUUGUAUGUCCAAGUCUAUGUUUUCAUAUACUCCAAGUAUGUAACAGAAUGUAU
Molecule: unclassified non-coding RNA, 240 nt
Filed under: soil metagenome
Description: partial contains 5.8S ribosomal RNA, internal transcribed spacer 2, and large subunit ribosomal RNA
Source: RNAcentral